GAUCGUUUACCGUGAAAAAAUUAGAGUGUUCAAAGCAGGCAGAUCCAAUUUUCUGCCACCGAAUACAUUAGCAUGGGAUAAUGGAAUAGGACCCUGUCCUCCUAUUUUCAGUUGGUUUUGGCAGCGCGAGGACUAGGGUAAUGAUUAAUAGGGAUAGUUGGGGGCAUUAAUAUUUAAUUGUCAGAGGUGAAAUUCUUGGAUUUAUGAAAGAUUAACUUCUGCGAAAGCAUCUGCCAAGGAUGUUUUCAUUAAUCAAGAACGAAAGUUAGGGGAUCGAAGACGAUCAGAUACCGUCGUAGUCUUAACCAUAAACGAUGCCGACCAGCGAUUAGGAGACGUUGAAUACAAAACACCGGCCAUCGGUUGCGGUCGUCCUUGGCGUCUCGGUUUCGGCCGAGGGCGCGGGGACGGUUAGCCCGUGC
This 422-nucleotide ribosomal RNA is filed under the name Acanthamoeba sp. MA40. Its description in RNAcentral is "SSU rRNA". It matches the Rfam family "Eukaryotic small subunit ribosomal RNA", at positions 746 to 1116 of the family's 1831-position model. Lineage: Eukaryota; Discosea; Longamoebia; Acanthamoebidae. The record is from RNAcentral.